GACGAACGCUGGCGGCGCGCCUAACACAUGCAAGUCGAACGAGCGAGAGAGAGCUUGCUUUCUCGAGCGAGUGGCGAACGGGUGAGUAACGCGUGAGGAACCUGCCUCAAAGAGGGGGACAACAGUUGGAAACGACUGCUAAUACCGCAUAAGCCCACGACCCGGCAUCGGGUAGAGGGAAAAGGAGCAAUCCGCUUUGAGAUGGCCUCGCGUCCGAUUAGCUAGUUGGUGAGGUAACGGCCCACCAAGGCGACGAUCGGUAGCCGGACUGAGAGGUUGAACGGCCACAUUGGGACUGAGACACGGCCCAGACUCCUACGGGAGGCAGCAGUGGGGAAUAUUGCACAAUGGGGGAAACCCUGAUGCAGCGACGCCGCGUGGAGGAAGAAGGUCUUCGGAUUGUAAACUCCUGUUGUGGAGGUAGAUAAUGACGGUACUCAACAAGGAAGUGACGGCUAACUACGUG
RNAcentral lists this ribosomal RNA (466 nucleotides) under uncultured bacterium. Its description in RNAcentral is "partial 16S ribosomal RNA". It matches the Rfam family "Bacterial small subunit ribosomal RNA", at positions 28 to 507 of the family's 1533-position model. The record is from RNAcentral.